This 253-nucleotide ribosomal RNA is filed under the name uncultured bacterium. RNAcentral's name for it is "partial 16S ribosomal RNA". It matches the Rfam family "Bacterial small subunit ribosomal RNA", at positions 524 to 776 of the family's 1533-position model. The record is from RNAcentral.
UACAGAGGGUGCAAGCGUUAAUCGGAAUUACUGGGCGUAAAGCGUGUGUAGGUGGUUUGCUAAGUCAGGUGUGAAAUCCCUGGGCUCAACCUAGGAAUUGCAUUUGAUACUGGCAGGCUAGAGUGUGGUAGAGGAUAGUGGAAUUCCCGGUGUAGCGGUGAAAUGCGUAGAUAUCGGGAGGAACAUCAGUGGCGAAGGCGGCUAUCUGGACUAACACUGACACUGAGACACGAAAGCGUGGGGAGCAAACAGG